ACGAACGCUGGCGGCGUGCCUAAUACAUGCAAGUAGCACGCUGAAGGAGGAGCUUGCUCUUCUGGAUGAGUUGCGAACGGGUGAGUAACGCGUAGGUAACCUGCCUGGUAGCGGGGGAUAACUAUUGGAAACGAUAGCUAAUACCGCAUAACAGUAGAUGUUGCAUGACAUUUACUUAAAAGGUGCAAUUGCAUCACUACCAGAUGGACCUGCGUUGUAUUAGCUAGUUGGUGGGGUAACGGCUCACCAAGGCGACGAUACAUAGCCGACCUGAGAGGGUGAUCGGCCACACUGGGACUGAGACACGGCCCAGACUCCUACGGGAGGCAGCAGUAGGGAAUCUUCGGCAAUGGACGGAAGUCUGACCGAGCAACGCCGCGUGAGUGAAGAAGGGUUUCGGAUCGUAAAGCUCUGUUGUAAGAGAAGAACGAGUGUGAGAGUGGAAAGUUCACACUGUGACGGUAUCUUACCAGAAAGGGACGGCUAACUACGUG
This 494-nucleotide ribosomal RNA is filed under the name uncultured bacterium. RNAcentral's name for it is "partial 16S ribosomal RNA". It matches the Rfam family "Bacterial small subunit ribosomal RNA", at positions 29 to 507 of the family's 1533-position model. The record is from RNAcentral.